UCUACGGGUGGCAGCAGUAGGGAAUAUUGCUCAAUGGGGGAAACCCUGAAGCAGCAACGCCGCGUGGAGGAUGAAGGUUUUCGGAUUGUAAACUACUUUGGUUAGAGAAGAUAAUGACGGUAUCUAACGAAUAAGCACUGGCUAACUCCGUGCCAGCAGCCACGGUCAUACGGAGGGUGCAAGCGUUACUCGGAAUCACUGGGCGUAAAGAGCGCGUAGGCGGGUUAGCAAGUCAGUUGUGAAAUCCUAUGGCUUAACAAUAGAACUGCAUUUGAUACUGUUAUUCUAGAGGAUGGGAGAGGUAGGUAGAAUUCUUGGUGUAGGGGUAAAAUGCGUAGAUAUCAAGAGGAAUACUCAUUGCGAAGGCGACCUGCUAGAACAUAACUGACGCUGAUGCGUGAAAGCGUGGGGAGCAAACAGGAUUAGAUACCCCAGUAGUC
RNAcentral lists this ribosomal RNA (440 nucleotides) under uncultured bacterium. RNAcentral's name for it is "partial 16S ribosomal RNA". It matches the Rfam family "Bacterial small subunit ribosomal RNA", at positions 338 to 795 of the family's 1533-position model. The record is from RNAcentral.